CGCCCGUCGCUCCUACCGAUUGGGUGUGCUGGUGAAGCGUUCGGAUCGGCUGCAUUGUGCGGUUCGCCGCUUGAUGUAGCUGGGAAGUUCGUUAAACCCUCCCACCUAGAGGAAGGAGAAGUCGUAACAAGGUUUCC
Molecule: ribosomal RNA, 137 nt
Filed under: uncultured Trebouxiophyceae
Lineage: Eukaryota; Viridiplantae; Chlorophyta; Trebouxiophyceae
Description: partial small subunit ribosomal RNA
Rfam family: Eukaryotic small subunit ribosomal RNA
Source: RNAcentral